GACGAACGCUGGCGGCGUGCUUAACACAUGCAAGUCGAGCGAGGCCCACCUUUCGGGGUGGUGUCCUAGCGGCGAACGGGUGAGUAACACGCGGGCAACCUGCCCCCGGCUCGGGGAUAACCCCAAGAAAUUGGGGCUAAUACCGGAUACGACCGCUGACCGCAUGGUCUGGUGGUGGAAAGAUUUAUCGGCUGGGGAUGGGCCCGCGGCCUAUCAGCUUGUUGGUGGGGUAGUGGCCUACCAAGGCGACGACGGGUAGCCGGCCUGAGAGGGUGACCGGCCACACUGGGACUGAGACACGGCCCAGACUCCUACGGGAGGCAGCAGUGGGGAAUAUUGCGCGAUGGGCGAAAGCCUGACGCAGCGACGCCGCGUGGGGGAUGACGGCCUUCGGGUUGUAAACCUCUUUCAGCAGGGACGAAGCCCGCAAGGGUGACGGUACCUGCAGAAGAAGCACCGGCCAACUACGUGCCAGCCGCCGCGGUAA
RNAcentral lists this ribosomal RNA (487 nucleotides) under uncultured bacterium. Its description in RNAcentral is "partial 16S ribosomal RNA". It matches the Rfam family "Bacterial small subunit ribosomal RNA", at positions 28 to 523 of the family's 1533-position model. The record is from RNAcentral.